AACGUUUCGCACAAACCCGGGGCUUCGACCCCCGGGGAAGGGAUCCGCUUUUUUUGGUUGGUUUCAGGGCGUACUUUCAAGGCGUACGUCUAGCGCCGGAAGGUUCUUUAGGAGUAACUGAGGGCUCAACCCGGGGAAGGAUCCCCUUUGGGGUCGCUUAAAGCGUAGUUUCAGGCGUACCCCCCACGGGUUCCAGGCUCCUUACGUCAAUAAGUUUUUUUUUUCCGCGUCCAAAAAAAAAACAAAACCUUUUCGGUAGGUGACCUUGCAGAAGGGUGUU
This 280-nucleotide ribosomal RNA is filed under the name Exophiala sideris. RNAcentral's name for it is "partial 18S ribosomal RNA". The record is from RNAcentral. Lineage: Eukaryota; Fungi; Ascomycota; Eurotiomycetes; Chaetothyriales; Herpotrichiellaceae.